AAAUUGAAGAGUUUGAUCAUGGCUCAGAUUGAACGCUGGCGGCAGGCCUAACACAUGCAAGUCGAACGGUAACAGGAAGCAGCUUGCUGCUUCGCUGACGAGUGGCGGACGGGU
RNAcentral lists this ribosomal RNA (114 nucleotides) under Escherichia coli. Its description in RNAcentral is "partial 16S ribosomal RNA". It matches the Rfam family "Bacterial small subunit ribosomal RNA", at positions 1 to 107 of the family's 1533-position model. The record is from RNAcentral. Lineage: Bacteria; Pseudomonadati; Pseudomonadota; Gammaproteobacteria; Enterobacterales; Enterobacteriaceae. RNAcentral also lists the same sequence under 29 other names.